CCUACGGGGGGCAGCAGUGAGGAAUAUUGGUCAAUGGCCGGAAGGCUGAACCAGCCAUGCCGCGUGAAGGUCAGUGCCCUAUGGGCGUUAAACUUCUUUUGUGCGGGAGCAAUAAUGGUCACGUGUGGCCAGACGAGAGUACCGUACGAAUAAGCAUCGGCUAAAUCCGUGCCAGCAGCCGCGGUAAUACGGGGGAUGCAAGCGUUAUCCGGAUUUAUUGGGUUUAAAGGGUGCGUAGGCUGUGAGGUAAGUCAGCGGGGAAAUGCCCCCGCUCAACGGGGUGAAGUGCCAUUGAUACUGCCUUGCUGGAAGGCGGAUGCCGUGGGAGGAAUGUGUGGUGUAGCGGUGAAAUGCAUAGAUAUCACACAGAACACCGAUUGCGAAGGCAUCUCACGAAUCCGCGAUUGACGCUGAUGCACGAAAGCGUGGGUAUCAAACAGGAUUAGAUACCCCUGUAGUC
This 460-nucleotide ribosomal RNA is filed under the name uncultured bacterium. RNAcentral's name for it is "partial 16S ribosomal RNA". It matches the Rfam family "Bacterial small subunit ribosomal RNA", at positions 338 to 795 of the family's 1533-position model. The record is from RNAcentral.